CCUACGGGGGGCAGCAGUGGGGAAUAUUGCGCAAUGGAGGAAACUCUGACGCAGCGACGCCGCGUGAGCGAAGAAGGCCUUCGGGUCGUAAAGCUCUGUUCUUGGGGACGAAUAAGGUGACGGUACCCAAGGAGAAAGCCCCGGCUAACUACGUGCCAGCAGCCGCGGUAAUACGUAGGGGGCGAGCGUUGUCCGGAAUUACUGGGCGUAAAGGGCGUGUAGGCGGCCGAGCAAGUCAAGUGUGAAAAGCCUCGGCUUAACCGAGGCAUUGCACAUGAAACUGCAUGGCUUGAGUGCAGGAGAGGGAAGUGGAAUUCCUAGUGUAGCGGUGAAAUGCGUAGAUAUUAGGAGGAACACCAGUGGCGAAGGCGACUUCCUGGACUGUAACUGACGCUGAGGCGCGAAAGCGUGGGUAGCAAACAGGCUUAGAUACCCCAGUAGUC
RNAcentral lists this ribosomal RNA (443 nucleotides) under uncultured Eubacteriales bacterium. Its description in RNAcentral is "bacterial SSU rRNA". It matches the Rfam family "Bacterial small subunit ribosomal RNA", at positions 338 to 795 of the family's 1533-position model. The record is from RNAcentral. Lineage: Bacteria; Bacillati; Bacillota; Clostridia; Eubacteriales.